RNAcentral lists this non-coding RNA (1622 nucleotides) under Saccharomyces cerevisiae (brewer's yeast). RNAcentral describes it as "ribosomal RNA". It matches the Rfam family "Bacterial small subunit ribosomal RNA". The record is from RNAcentral. Lineage: Eukaryota; Fungi; Ascomycota; Saccharomycetes; Saccharomycetales; Saccharomycetaceae.
AAGAAUAAGAAUAUGAUGUUGGUUCAGAUUAAGCGCUAAAUAAGGACAUGACACAUGCGAAUCAUACGUUUAUUAUUGAUAAGAUAAUAAAUAUGUGGUGUAAACGUGAGUAAUUUUAUUAGGAAUUAAUGAACUAUAGAAUAAGCUAAAUACUUAAUAUAUUAUUAUAUAAAAAUAAUUUAUAUAAUAAAAAGGAUAUAUAUAUAAUAUAUAUUUAUCUAUAGUCAAGCCAAUAAUGGUUUAGGUAGUAGGUUUAUUAAGAGUUAAACCUAGCCAACGAUCCAUAAUCGAUAAUGAAAGUUAGAACGAUCACGUUGACUCUGAAAUAUAGUCAAUAUCUAUAAGAUACAGCAGUGAGGAAUAUUGGACAAUGAUCGAAAGAUUGAUCCAGUUACUUAUUAGGAUGAUAUAUAAAAAUAUUAAUUUUUAUAUUUAUAAAUAUUAAAUAUUUAUAUAUAAUAAUAAUAAUAUAUAUAAAUUGAUUAAAAAUAAAAUCCAUAAAUAAUUAAAAUAAUGAUAUUAAUUACCAUAUAUAUAUUUUAUAUGGAUAUAUAUAUUAAUAAUAAUAUUAAUUUAUUAUUAUUAAUAAUAUAUUUUAAUAGUCCUGACUAAUAUUUGUGCCAGCAGUCGCGGUAACACAAAGAGGGCGAGCGUUAAUCAUAAUGGUUUAAAGGAUCCGUAGAAUGAAUUAUAUAUUAUAAUUUAGAGUUAAUAAAAUUAAUUAAAGAAUUAUAAUAGUAAAGAUGAAAUAAUAAUAAUAAUUAUAAGACUAAUAUAUGUGAAAAUAUUAAUUAAAUAUUAACUGACAUUGAGGGAUUAAAACUAGAGUAGCGAAACGGAUUCGAUACCCGUGUAGUUCUAGUAGUAAACUAUGAAUACAAUUAUUUAUAAUAUAUAUUAUAUAUAAAUAAUAAAUGAAAAUGAAAGUAUUCCACCUGAAGAGUACGUUAGCAAUAAUGAAACUCAAAACAAUAGACGGUUACAGACUUAAGCAGUGGAGCAUGUUAUUUAAUUCGAUAAUCCACGACUAACCUUACCAUAUUUUGAAUAUUAUAAUAAUUAUUAUAAUUAUUAUAUUACAGGCGUUACAUUGUUGUCUUUAGUUCGUGCUGCAAAGUUUUAGAUUAAGUUCAUAAACGAACAAAACUCCAUAUAUAUAAUUUUAAUUAUAUAUAAUUCUAUAUUAUUUAUUAAUAUAAAGAAAGGAAUUAAGACAAAUCAUAAUGAUCCUUAUAAUAUGGGUAAUAGACGUGCUAUAAUAAAAUGAUAAUAAAAUUAUAUAAAAUAUAUUUAAUAUAUAUUUAAUUAAUAAUAUAAAACAUUUUAAUUUUUAAUAUAUUUUUUUAUUAUAUAUUAAUAUGAAUUAUAAUCUGAAAUUCGAUUAUAUGAAAAAAGAAUUGCUAGUAAUACGUAAAUUAGUAUGUUACGGUGAAUAUUCUAACUGUUUCGCACUAAUCACUCAUCACGCGUUGAAACAUAUUAUUAUCUUAUUAUUUAUAUAAUAUUUUUUAAUAAUUAUUAAUAUUAUUAAUUUAUAUUUAUUUAUAUCAGAAAUAAUAUGAAUUAAUGCGAAGUUGAAAUACAGUUACCGUAGGGGAACCUGCGGUGGGCUUAUAAAUAUC